GAUAUACUUGAAAUCGAAGAAUGGGUUUGGGUUUUCGAGGAUGGGUGAAGAACCAUCAUCAUAUCAAGACUUCCACAGUUAUGUUUUUGUUGAUGACCACCAGUUGGAUUUAUGCCGAGCAACAAACAGGGGACACAUCGUAUUGACCACCUAAUAAUCAGGUACAAUUAACGACAACUCAUAAGACCAACACAUACCCUCACGAUAAUCACCCUUCAUUUCUGAAUGUUGAUCUCCAACAAGACCAACUGGUCAGUUUGUUCCACUAGCCUACCAUUAUGUGGGCUUCAUUCGUGUUAAUUAGAGAGAUAUUUGGCAUCUGGGUCGGGUCGAAAUCUCUUGCACAGUCUUCUUCUUUCUUAAGCGAUCUGAAAUGGUUUGUGGGACAGUUCUUAUGCAGUUAUAGCACCCUACCACUCGAUACGCAGCAUUCAUGGAAAGCAAGCUAAUACUACAACAUCAUGAACUGAUCUUCUUCUUCAAGGCAAGGCAAAGCGACAUGAAUAUAGAAAAUGUACCCGCUGCUAACAUCCAAGGUGUGUGCAAAAGUAUUCGGGGCAUCAGGGGGUUUGCCAUCACUACAUCCUGUGGUGAAACAGGGCCCCUAUUACUGUUGUUGCCUCUACGGUCCAAGCCAAGAUUAAGGACAUCACUAACAACUCACCAGCAUAAAAGUUCCCAAUGGAAAUAAAGCACAGGUCAAAUAGGAAGGUAUUACUCUCUUUUCCUUAAAUGAGAUCAUUGGCACCAUCACAGAAGAGCUGAGCUGGUACUUAAGGCAAGACAGGAGGAGGGCGGUUCUUAAACAUGGUGGGCAGCCACGUGACACUUCUCUGUUCUAAAAGUUCAAUCAAAGUUGGACUUUCAAUAUAUAGUAAAUAAUAAUUCAUGGGGCAAUGCAUUGAUAACUUCUUAUACAGUUUUAGUGAUGUAUCAUGUGAACUAUAUUUAUACAACUCCUUUCAAAUGUAUUGGUUAAAAUGAAUCUUCACAAGAAGAGGAUGGAGAACAAUCGCCUUGCUACGCCCGAGCGCCUAGGCGCAUGCGCCUUUUGCGCUUUUUACAACUAUGACCCAUUCAAAAAAUACCCGUUUCCCAACACGUGUUUUACACAGGUGAAAUUACAUUGCACAGAAAAGGCCUUAAGGUCAAAAGGCAAUGGUUAAGAACACCGGUGCUAGAGGGUUAAGAGCCAUACUUGAAACGCUUCUAACCGACGACGCUAUGUAUGAGAUUCCAGAUGUCAAGACGGGAAAUGAUCGAUGAAGAGUCGGUUCGGUCAGUUGAUAAACCGGGAUGUGGGGGAAAAAUUCUUCGUGGUGGUGACGGUGCAUUAGAUGAUUGAUUAUCUAGCAAAGACCAAGUGUAAGGAACAAGAAGAGGCACAUUAUUCCCUACAUACAUAAACUUGAUGCAUCAGGCGCGAGAUGUCUCAGCUACAUUGGUUCUCACCAAUGAAAUGGAGGAGGAAAAUAAGACGUGUCACGUCCAUAAACGUCUUGAAAUGAGUGGAUACUAUGGUCGAAUCAGUGACCUUGAGCUUGCUGUGUAUGUCAUAGACACUCAAGAAAAUCGUCAUAGAUCCUUGCUGUCAGGCGUUUGGGGGACGUUUAGGUAAAGAGGACUGACUGUUUGAAGAGACUCGAUCUUCCGCCAACCACUAUUGCCUCCAGGUGUGGAUAUGGCGGCGAUACUGUAAUUCGCCACUUAAGUACAGGAAUUACUGUUGCAUGAUGUGUUAUGUCGAAGAAAAUGGGAGCAAGGUACAUCUUGUACUGCUUGAUUUAUCCCUCUUAAAAAGUUCCUGCUUCUAUUUACAUGUAUGUAUGUAUAAACUAUUGUAGAAGCUUGUUAAUGCUUUUAGAUUCUGUUCAAAUAAUGUCUACAAAGAAAUCAGAAUGUAUUAAAUGAAUUGGAACAGUCAUGUUUAAUAUACGAAGGU
This 1942-nucleotide long non-coding RNA is filed under the name Helianthus annuus (common sunflower). RNAcentral describes it as "hypothetical non coding rna". The record is from RNAcentral. Lineage: Eukaryota; Viridiplantae; Streptophyta; Magnoliopsida; Asterales; Asteraceae.